Molecule: ribosomal RNA, 397 nt
Filed under: uncultured bacterium
Lineage: Bacteria
Description: partial 16S ribosomal RNA
Rfam family: Bacterial small subunit ribosomal RNA
Source: RNAcentral
AUACGUAGGUGACAAGCGUUAUCCGGCUUUACUGGGCGUAAAGGGCGUGUAGGCGGUCUUGCAAGUCAGAAGUGAAAUUCCUGAGCUCAACUCGGGCGCUGCUUCUGAAACUGCAGGACUUGAGUGCUGGAGGGGAUAGCGGAAUUCCUAGUGGAGCGGUAAAAUGCGCAGAUAUUAGGAAGAACACCGGUGGCGAAGGCGGCGAUCUGGAAGGUAAACGCCGCUGAGGCGCGAAAGCGUGGGGAGAAAACGGGAGUAGAUACCCUGGAAGUCCACGCCGUAAACGAUGAAUACUAGGUGUAGGGGGUAUCGACUCCCUCUGUGCCGCAGUUAACACAAUAAGUAUGCCGCCUGGGGAGUACGGCCGCAAGGUGGAAACUCAAAUGAAUUGACGGGG